CCUUGACCACCCAGGCCAGGUAGAGGGCGAACCACUCCUUGGUGGGGUGUUGUAGGGACACCUGCUUGGCCUCACUGUGCCUUUCCCCGGGGGCAGAAUCUGGCUGUGUUGUCCUUGAAUGGCUCCCUCCUGGUCCACACCUGCACGGCCAGCCUGGCAGCUCAGGUAUCUUCUGGGGACACGUUCGCACGGGCCCACAUCCACACAGCCCGCAGCCACCGCCAUACCCAUCUGGAUGCCAGCCUCCAGCAUGCAUGGCCUCCCCUUCAGGCUCUGGGGGUUGCCCCCGACAACCACAUCCAGCUGUCUGUGGGGGGACACGAACCCCCCAGGGCCGGGCUGGAGGUGGCCCUGGGCCAGUGCACCCUGACCGCUCGUGGGGAUAUCGGUGCUGAGGCCAACACCACUCACACCAACUGGACCCUGUCCCUGGUGAAUCGCUGUCCUCUGCUGGAGGUGACGGGCAUCCCGCAGGCCCUGCACUCCGAGGGCAGCCUGAGCUGGGGCCCCUGCGAGGUCAGUCUGGCCACGGGCCUCCGCAGCGACCAUGGGGAUGCCCACCUGCAGCUGGCCCGCACCUGUGGGUCCCAGACCUCGGUCGUCGGGCGCCUGGGCCACUCCCUGCCCCUGCUGGGCCGCCUGGGCCUGCCACCCAGCAGCGCCAUCAGCCUGGCUGUCCAGCCCCGCCCUGCCGCCCGCAGCUCCCUGGCCGUCCAGCUGGGGCCAUGCCAGCUGCAGGGGACGCUGGAUCACCGCACUGGGCACCAGAGCGCAUGGACACUGGCCACCGAACCCGGCUGCCCUCUGCUGGAGGGCCUGGGCCUCCCAGCAGGGACAGAGCUCAGUGGCUCCCUGAAGACCGAAGGUGGGGAAGCAGAGGUGUCCGGGGCCCUCGCAUGGGCUGGCCAGACCGCCUCCCUGACCUUGGCGGCGGCCGUGCACCAGUCCGAGGCCACACUCCGAGUGAAGCUAAGUCACGCGCUGCCGGCACUGCAGACCGUCCCCCCAGAGGCCUUGCUGACCGUCCAGCUUGGGUGGGAGGCCGGGCACCGGCUGGGUCUGGAGCUACAGGUGGGGGCCUGUGAGCUGCAGGGCAGUGGUGAGCUGCACCUGGACCGUGGGCUACAGUGGCAGGUGCUCGCCCAGAGCUCCUGUGAGGCCCUGCAGGUAGGCGGUGCUUCGGUGUGGGGGGAGUGGGCCUCAGGGUCUCCAGGGGGCAGGGCAGGGACCUUCUUUUCGACCACUGGGGAAACAAGGGGGAUUGACUGAACCCCAGUGGAAGGGACUCGUCAAAUACUUAUUGAGCCCACCUGGUGCCCUGGAAAUACAUCCAUGAACCAAGCAGAGGCAAAUGCCUGCCUGGGGGAGACAUGCAAUCCCUGGCAUACAUCAGCCAAGGGCAGACUCUAUUACCUAGUGAUAAGGACUACGGGGAGGCAGAAAGUGGGAAUGGGGGAUGAACGACAGGACAGAUACUGCAAUUUUUGUAAGUCGGUCAAGAUUGGCCCUAAAGACAAGAUGACAUUUGAGCAGAGACUUGAAGGAGAGGAAGGAGGAGCCGUGUGGAAGUCUAGGGAAAG
Long non-coding RNA from Zalophus californianus (California sea lion), 1580 nucleotides. Lineage: Eukaryota; Metazoa; Chordata; Mammalia; Carnivora; Otariidae. The record is from Ensembl.